GUGGAACAUAAAUACUUGUCUUUUUUAUAUAAAAUUUUACCUUUUUUCUUUGAUUUCUUAAAGUUGAUCAUUGCGUUGGUCUGUGCUUUUACAGGGAGGGAUUAAAGCUGUGGUGUGGACUGAUGUGUUCCAGUUGGGAAUUAUGCUCUCGGGUUUUCUGGCUGUUAUAAUCAAAGCUGUGAUCAUCCAAGGAGGAGUCUCCGUUAUCUUUUCAGAUGCACAGCAGGGAGGAAGGCUCAACUUUUGGGACUUCGAUAUGAACCCCUUGAGGAGACAUACUUUUUGGACUUUUGUCAUUGGAGGGACGAGUAUCUGCACCACUGGCUAUGGGGUGACCCCCGCUGCAGUUCAGAGAUACAUUUCCUGCAAGAGCGUCACUCAGG
Molecule: long non-coding RNA, 383 nt
Organism: Oryzias melastigma (Indian medaka)
Lineage: Eukaryota; Metazoa; Chordata; Actinopteri; Beloniformes; Adrianichthyidae
Exons: 3
Source: RefSeq, a predicted model, not a curated record